RNAcentral lists this transfer RNA (72 nucleotides) under Allocatelliglobosispora scoriae. Its description in RNAcentral is "Micromonosporaceae bacterium Sco-B14 tRNA". It matches the Rfam family "tRNA". From Rfam's summary of the family: Transfer RNA (tRNA) molecules are approximately 80 nucleotides in length. Their secondary structure includes four short double-helical elements and three loops (D, anti-codon, and T loops). Lineage: Bacteria; Bacillati; Actinomycetota; Actinomycetes; Micromonosporales; Micromonosporaceae. The record is from Rfam by way of RNAcentral.
UCGGCUGUGGUGUAAUUGGCAACACUCGGGCCUUUGGAGCCUGCUUUCCAGGUUCGAGUCCUGGCAGCCGAG